GAUGAACGCUGGCGGCGUGCCUAAUACAUGCAAGUCGAGCGAACGGACGAGAAGCUUGCUUCUCUGAUGUUAGCGGCGGACGGGUGAGUAACACGUGGAUAACCUACCUAUAAGACUGGGAUAACUUCGGGAAACCGUAGCUAAUACCGGAUAAUAUUUUGAACCGCAUGGUUCAAAAGUGAAAGACGGUCUUGCUGUCACUUAUAGCUGGAUCCGCGCUGCAUUAGCUAGUUGGUAAGGUAACGGCUUACCAAGGCAACGAUGCAUAGCCGACCUGAGAGGGUGAGCGGCCACACUGGGACUGAGACACGGUCCAGACUCCUACGGGAGGCAGCAGUAGGGAAUCUUCCGCAAUGGGCGAAAGCCUGACGGAGCAACGCCGCGUGAGUGAUGAAGGUCUUCGGAUCGUAAAACUCUGUUAUUAGGGAAGAACAUAUGUGUAAGUAACUGUGCACAUCUUGACGGUACCUAAUCAGAAAGCCACGGCUAACUACGUU
RNAcentral lists this ribosomal RNA (497 nucleotides) under uncultured bacterium. Its description in RNAcentral is "partial 16S ribosomal RNA". It matches the Rfam family "Bacterial small subunit ribosomal RNA", at positions 28 to 507 of the family's 1533-position model. The record is from RNAcentral.